RNAcentral lists this ribosomal RNA (444 nucleotides) under uncultured bacterium. Its description in RNAcentral is "partial 16S ribosomal RNA". It matches the Rfam family "Bacterial small subunit ribosomal RNA", at positions 354 to 796 of the family's 1533-position model. The record is from RNAcentral.
GUGAGGAAUAUUGCGCAAUGGAGGCAACUCUGACGCAGCCAUGCCGCGUGCAGGAAGAAGGCGCUACGCGUUGUAAACUGCUUUUAACCGGGAAGAAACCCCAGGACGUGUCCUGGGUUGACGGUACCGGAGGAAUAAGCACCGGCUAACUUCGUGCCAGCAGCCGCGGUAAUACGAAGGGUGCAAGCGUUAUCCGGAUUCAUUGGGUUUAAAGGGUGCGUAGGCGGAGCGUUAAGUCAGUGGUGAAAUCCUGCAGCUUAACUGUAGACUUGCAAUGGAUACUGGCGCUCUUGAGUGCGCUUGAAGUGGGCGGAAUGUGCCGUGUAGCGGUGAAAUGCUUAGAUAUGGCACAGAACACCAAUUGCGAAGGCAGCUCACUAAGGCGAUAAUGACGCUGAGGCACGAAAGCGUGGGGAUCGAACAGGAUUAGAAACCCGUGAGUCC